Molecule: ribosomal RNA, 710 nt
Filed under: Azadinium poporum
Lineage: Eukaryota; Dinophyceae; Gonyaulacales; Amphidomataceae
Description: LSU rRNA
Rfam family: Eukaryotic large subunit ribosomal RNA
Source: RNAcentral
AGAAACUAAAUAGGAUUCCCCCAGUAAUGGCGAAUGAACAGGGAAGAGCUCAGCAUGGAAAUCGGGGCCUCCCGGCCUUGAAUUGUAGUCUUGAGAUGUACUGCCAACGGAGGCGCAGAUGUAAGCCUCUUGGAAAAGAGCAUCAACGAGGGUGAGAGUCCCGUUUGUCAUCUGCAGUCCCCCGUGCACGGUGUACAUUCUAAGAGUCACGUUCCUCGGGAUUGGAGCGCAAAGUGGGUGGUAAAUUUCAUCUAAAGCUAAAUAUUGGUUCGAGACCGAUAGCAAACAAGUACCAUGAGGGAAAGGUGAAAAGGACUUUGAAAAGAGAGUUAAAAGUGCCUGAAAUUGCUGAAAGGGAAGCGAAUGGAACCAGUGUUCUUGAUGAGAUUGUCGCGUACUCUGGUGAUUGCUGGGUGCUCCACCGCAAGGGGGGCAUUUGGUUUUGAGCUAGAUGUGCGUGGUGUUUCUUGUCUUGUGUGUCACCGUCGGUGCACGAGCGAGUAAACCUCCAGGGAGAUGGUAACUCGUCUGCGGAUGUGUGAAUGUCUCUGGUAGUACUCAUUUGUGUAUCGAUCCCUGCGUGUCUGGUUGCAGUGUUUGAGUCGUCUGGAAGCUUCUGAAAGGCUUGCCCUCGAUGAACUUUCUGGGCUCCUUGAGCAUCUCCCUGACACAAAGACGAUGACUAAAUGGUUCUAUUCGACCCGUCUUGA